RNAcentral lists this ribosomal RNA (488 nucleotides) under uncultured bacterium. RNAcentral describes it as "bacterial SSU rRNA". It matches the Rfam family "Bacterial small subunit ribosomal RNA", at positions 19 to 518 of the family's 1533-position model. The record is from RNAcentral.
AUGGCUCAGGAUGAACGCUGGCGGCGUGCUUAACACAUGCAAGUCGAACGGUGCUUAAUGAAACCUAGUGAUUUAAGCACAGUGGCGGACGGGUGAGUAACGCGUGGGUAACCUGCCGCAUGCAGGGGGACAACAGAGGGAAACUUCUGCUAAUACCGCAUAAGCGCACGGGAUCGCAUGAUCCGGUGUGAAAAGAUUUGGUCGGCAUGCGAUGGACCCGCGUCUGAUUAGGCAGUUGGUGAGGUAACGGCCCACCAAACCUACGAUCAGUAGCCGGCCUGAGAGGGUGAACGGCCACAUUGGGACUGAGACACGGCCCAAACUCCUACGGGAGGCAGCAGUGGGGAAUAUUGCACAAUGGGGGAAACCCUGAUGCAAGCGACGCCGCGUGAGUGAAGAAGCAUUUCGGUGCGUAAAGCUCUGUCAGCAGGAAAGAAAAUGACGGUACCUGACCAAGAAGCCCCGGCUAACUACGUGCCAGCCGCCGC